This 279-nucleotide ribosomal RNA is filed under the name uncultured bacterium. RNAcentral's name for it is "partial 16S ribosomal RNA". It matches the Rfam family "Bacterial small subunit ribosomal RNA", at positions 506 to 784 of the family's 1533-position model. The record is from RNAcentral.
UGCCAGCAGCCGCGGUAACACGGGGGGAGCAAGCGUUGUUCGGAUUCAUUGGGCGUAAAGAGCUCGUAGGUGGUUCUGCAAGUCAGAGGUUAAAUCCCAUGGCUCAACCAUGGACCUGCCUUUGAAACUACAGAACUUGAGUACGGGAGAGGAAAGUGGAAUUCCGAGUGUAGGGGUGAAAUCCGUAGAUAUUCGGAGGAACACCAGUGGCGAAGGCGGCUUUCUGGACCGAUACUGACGCUGAGACGCGAAAGCGUGGGGAGCAAACAGGAUUAGAUA